GUAUCCGAGAGGUGAUGAGGUCAGGGCUUUGCCCUGGAUACUCGGUGAUCCCAUACUUCCAAGAAAAGCCGCGUACAGAGCCCCUUCGGUGUCCGUACCGCAAACCGACUCAGGUGGGCGGGGUGAAUAUCCCAAGGCGCGUGAGAGAACCCUGGUUAAGGAACUCGCAAAAUGACACCGUAACUUCGGGAGAAGGUGUGCCAGUGGUCGUGAAGAGCUUCGCGCUCGGAGCGGCUGCUGGUUGCAGAGAAAUGGGGGUUGUGACUGUUUACUAAAAACACAGGACUCUGCAAAGUCGUAAGACGACGUAUAGGGUCUGAUGCCUGCCCGGUGCUGGAAGGUUAAGGGGACGAGUCAGCGCAAGCGAAGCUCCGAACCGAAGCCCCAGUAAACGGCGGCCGUAACGAUAACGGUCCUAAGGUAGCGAAAUUCCUUGUCGGGUAAGUUCCGACCUGCACGAAGGGCAUAACAACAUCCCCGCUGUCUCGACCAGGGACUCAGCGAAAUUGUAUCGGGGGUGAAGAUACCCUCUACCCGCGGCAAGACGGAAAGACCCCAUGAACCUUUACUGCAACUUGGCAGUGAUUUUCGGGAUGUUCUGCGUAGGAUAGGUGGGAGGCUUUGAAGCUGGGCUUCUGGGUUCAGCUGAGCCAACGUUGAAAUACCACCCUGGAUAUUCUGGAAAUCUAACCUAGGCCCGUGAUCCGGGCCAGGGACACUGCCUGGUGGGCAGUUUGACAGGGGCGGUCGCCUCCAAAAAAGUAACGGAGGCGUGCGAAGGUCCCCUCAGCCUGAUUGGAAACCAGGCGUAGAGUGCAAACGCACAAGGGGGCUUAACUGUGAGACCGACAGGUCGAACAGGUGCGAAAGCAGGCGUUAGUGAUCCGGUGGUUCUGCAUGGAAGGGCCAUCGCUUAUCGGAUAAAAGGUACUCUGGGGAUAACAGGCUGAUCGCGCCUGAGAGUUCACAUCGGCGGCGCGGUUUGGCACCUCGAUGUCGGCCCAUCGCAUCCUGGGGCUGGAGCAGGUCCCAAGGGUUCGGCUGUUCGCCGAUUAAAGCGGUACGCGAGCUGGGUUUAAAACGUCGUGAGACAGUUUGGUCCCUAUCUGCCGUGGGCGUAGGACACUUGAGAGGAGCUGCCCAUAGUACGAGAGGACCUGGGUGGACGUACCUCUGGUGUUCCGGUUGUCCUGCCAAGGGCAUAGCCGGGUAGCCAUGUACGGAACGAAUAACCGCUGAAAGCAUCUAAGCGGGAAGUCGGCCUCAAGACUAGGUGUCCCGAGUCGCAAGACUCCUAAAGACCCCUCGUAGACCACGAGGUUGAUAGGCCGGGUGUGGAAACCGAGCAAUCGGAGGAGCUAACCGGUACUAAUAGGUCGUGCGGCUUGACCAU
Molecule: ribosomal RNA, 1393 nt
Filed under: metagenome
Description: bacterial LSU rRNA
Rfam family: Bacterial large subunit ribosomal RNA
Source: RNAcentral